CCUCCUUCGGGAGGGGAUUAGUGGCGAACGGGUGAGUAACACGUGGGCAAUCUGCCCUUCACUCUGGGACAAGCCCUGGAAACGGGGUCUAAUACCGGAUAAUACUCCUGCCUGCAUGGGCGGGAGUUGAAAGCUCCGGCGGUGAAGGAUGAGCCCGCGGCCUAUCAGCUUGUUGGUGGGGUAAUGGCCCACCAAGGCGACGACGGGUAGCCGGCCUGAGAGGGCGACCGGCCACACUGGGACUGAGACACGGCCCAGACUCCUACGGGAGGCAGCAGUGGGGAAUAUUGCACAAUGGGCGAAAGCCUGAUGCAGCGACGCCGCGUGAGGGAUGACGGCCUUCGGGUUGUAAACCUCUUUCAGCAGGGAAGAAGCGAAAGUGACGGUACCUGCAGAAGAAGCGCCGGCUAACUACGUGCCAGCAGCCGCGGUAAUACGUAGGGCGCAAGCGUUGUCCGGAAUUAUUGGGCGUAAAGAGCUCGUAGGCGGCUUGUCACGUCGGAUGUGAAAGCCCGAGGCUUAACCUCGGGUCUGCAUUCGAUACGGGCUAGCUAGAGUGUGGUAG
RNAcentral lists this ribosomal RNA (565 nucleotides) under Streptomyces cirratus. Its description in RNAcentral is "bacterial SSU rRNA". It matches the Rfam family "Bacterial small subunit ribosomal RNA", at positions 74 to 654 of the family's 1533-position model. The record is from RNAcentral. Lineage: Bacteria; Bacillati; Actinomycetota; Actinomycetes; Kitasatosporales; Streptomycetaceae.